RNAcentral lists this ribosomal RNA (548 nucleotides) under Perenniporia hainaniana. Its description in RNAcentral is "partial small subunit ribosomal RNA". It matches the Rfam family "Bacterial small subunit ribosomal RNA", at positions 396 to 965 of the family's 1533-position model. The record is from RNAcentral. Lineage: Eukaryota; Fungi; Basidiomycota; Agaricomycetes; Polyporales; Polyporaceae.
CCCGUGUGACUAGCUACUGAAUCAUAGAAUUUUUUAAAAUUCAUGAUGUCGUAAGGGAAAAUAAUGAUAAUACCUUACUAUGAGUGUCGUCCAAAUCUAGUGCCAGAAGACUCGGUAAGACCAGAGACGCGAACGUUAAUCAUCUUAAACAGGCGUAAAGGGUUUGUAGGCAGCUUUCAUAAGAAUAUGAUUUUUAAAAUAAAGUAAUCUAAUUGAAAGCUAGAAUCAAAAAGAGGUUAUAGUGUAUAACGCCUAGAGGAGGGCUGAUAUCCUUAGAUCCUAGGCAGAAUACUCAGGGCGAAGGCCACUCUCCACUAAUGAUUGACGCUGAGAAACGAAGGUUAGGGUAGGAAAUAGGAUUAGAUACCCCGGUACUCCUUUCUGUAAACGAUGAAUGGUAGUCAUUAGUUUAUUUACAUAACUAGAGAUGAAGUUAACACAAUAACCAUUCCGCCUUGUGAGUACUACUGCAAAGUAGAAAACAAAAAAAUUAGUCGGUCUCGAAGCAAACGGAGUGAAGCAUGUUAUUUAAUUAAUAAAAACCCGCA